GCCACAUGCCUUCCUGGACCUGAAGACUCGUGCAUUGGUGACCUGAAGUGUAAAACAUUCAGGGGGGGAUAUCGAUGUCUGUGUGACCAAGAUGCUUUAUAUGAUGGCAACAUAUGUCAACAGGUUUUUUUUUCUGCCGUUCCCACCAAUAUGUCGAUGGCGUUUGACGAAGCCAAUAGGACCUGUUCAGCUACAUCUACUUACCUAGCAGAUGAUAACAACUUUGACGAAAUUUUCAAAGAUUGUGUUGGCAGCACGGUAUUAUUUCAGGCAGUGAUUCCACAACCAGAGUCUGUGGACAACCAUUGCGUCUCAAUGAGGAUGAUAAAUGGUACAGUUCAACGUAACGAGCCAACAGCCUGCUCUGCCAAAUUGCC
Mizuhopecten yessoensis (Yesso scallop) is the source of this 377-nucleotide long non-coding RNA. RefSeq lists it as uncharacterized. The record is from RefSeq and is a predicted model, not a curated record. The transcript is spliced from 3 exons. NCBI's taxonomy places the organism in Eukaryota, Metazoa, Mollusca, Bivalvia, Pectinida, Pectinidae.